Molecule: ribosomal RNA, 601 nt
Filed under: uncultured bacterium
Lineage: Bacteria
Description: bacterial SSU rRNA
Rfam family: Bacterial small subunit ribosomal RNA
Source: RNAcentral
UAACUGACGCUAAAGCUCGAAAGUGCGGGUAUCGAACAGGAUUAGAUACCCUGGUAGUCCGCACGGUAAACGAUGGAUGCCCGCUGUUUGCGAUAUAUUGUAAGCGGCCAAGAGAAAUCGUUAAGCAUCCCACCUGGGGAGUACGCCGGCAACGGUGAAACUCAAAGGAAUUGACGGGGGCCCGCACAAGCGGAGGAACAUGUGGUUUAAUUCGAUGAUACGCGAGGAACCUUACCCGGGCUUGAACUGCAGAGGAAGGAUCUAGAGAUAGUGACGCCCUUCGGGGCCUCUGUGGAGGUGCUGCAUGGUUGUCGUCAGCUCGUGCCGUGAGGUGUCGGCUUAAGUGCCAUAACGAGCGCAACCCCUUUCUCCAGUUGCCAGCAUGUUGAGGUGGGCACUCUGGAGACACUGCCACCGUAAGGUGUGAGGAAGGUGGGGAUGACGUCAAAUCAGCACGGCCCUUACGUCCGGGGCUACACACGUGUUACAAUGGGUGGUACAGAGAGUCGGUGCACCGCAAGCUGCAUCUAAUCAUGAAAGCCAUCCUCAGUUCGGAUUGGGGUCUGCAACCCGACCCCAUGAAGCUGGAUUCGCUAGUAAU